This 484-nucleotide ribosomal RNA is filed under the name uncultured bacterium. RNAcentral's name for it is "partial 16S ribosomal RNA". It matches the Rfam family "Bacterial small subunit ribosomal RNA", at positions 28 to 507 of the family's 1533-position model. The record is from RNAcentral.
AUCGAACGCUGGCGGCAGGCCUAACACAUGCAAGUCGAGCGGAUGAAGCGUGCUUGCUCCUGGAUUCCGCGGCGGACGGGUGUGUCAUGCCUAUGAGUCUGCCUGGUCGUGGGGGAUCAUGUCCUGAUACGGGCGCUGCUACUGCAUACGACCUGCGGGUGCAAGUGGGGGAGCUUCGGACCUCUUGCUCUCUUGUGAGCCUAGGUGGGAUUCGCUAGCUGGUGGGGUAAAGGCCUACCAAGGCGUCGUUCCGUAACUGGUCUGAGAGGAUGGUCAGGCAGACUGGAAGUGAGACAGGGUCAAGACUCCUACGGGAGGCAGCAGUGGGGAAUAGUGGGCAAUGGGGGAGAGGCUGAUCCAGCCAAGCCGCGUGUGGGAAGAAGGUGUUCGGAUGGGAAAGCACUGUAAGUUGGGAGAAAGGGCAGUAAGUUAAUACGUUGCGGUAUUGACGGUACCAGGAGAAGAAGCACCGGCUAACUUCGUG